UGUUGGGCACACAUGGAUCCCAUCUCUGUCCAGACGUGGCUUUACUCCAUGAACUUAGAGACUUAUCACAUUCGCUAUGUCCUAAACAUUCCACAAGUGCCAAAAAUAGUAAAGGGGAGAAGAAGAACAAUGGGAAAGAAAGAAUGCUGCAGCUGCUCCGUAGUGUAUUUCAAGGGUGAUUUGGGGUAAACAUAACAAGGAUUGCAAAACUCUCUUGCAAUUUCCCUUAAUAUCAACAAAGAGCAGAGUUCCCAGAGUGAGAAACCGAAAUCAGCUUUAACAGACUGCACCUGGAACAUCUCUCUCAACUUAAUCCACUCGCUUUGCACCAUUGAGAUGUAAGCACAGCCUUCAGGAGCCAGUUAUAUGACAGACUUUUCCUGAUGGGAAGACUUUGGGCUGUUCAUUACACUUACUCAAUAAAUCUAGUGAUGACGAUCUCAAAUAUAUUUGGACGAUACAAAUUUCCAAGAAAAAAAAAACAAACAUAGCUGGAAUGACAUCAAAUUAUCCAGGGAGGAGAAGACAUAAAUGGAAUAUGUUAUAAAGGGCUCAAAAAGAAUCUCUCCAAAUUGGUGAAUGAGGAGCUAGAUUGUAGAUGGACAUCCAUAGGAGUAAGAAAAUAGAGUUGAUCUGAAUCUGAGCUGAUGGAACUGAAAUGUAACAAAGCCUUUACAUCCAAGUUACUCACAGAAAAUAUUAGUUCUACAUUCAUCAGUUAUUAAAAAGAUAUAUUCUAUGCUAAUGGUCAUUACAAGCAACCUACUAAUGAAACUGCCAGUUUUGUAAUGCCUUUGUAAAAAUCUGAGCUAUGUCCAGAUCUGGUAUAAUGUACAGUAAUAAAGUUCUGUUUACCACAUCAGAGAACCUGUAAGGUUAGAGAAGGGACGGGGAAGGGAAAGAGGAAGGGAAGGGAAGGGAAGGGAAGGGAAGGGAA
Molecule: long non-coding RNA, 937 nt
Organism: Pantherophis guttatus
Lineage: Eukaryota; Metazoa; Chordata; Lepidosauria; Squamata; Colubridae
Source: RefSeq, a predicted model, not a curated record